Molecule: RNA transcript, 3226 nt
Organism: Gallus gallus (chicken)
Lineage: Eukaryota; Metazoa; Chordata; Aves; Galliformes; Phasianidae
Gene: KLHL32
Gene name: kelch like family member 32
Exons: 12
Source: RefSeq, a predicted model, not a curated record
ACAGCUGGGCCGGCGGCUCUGCGGCGCGGGAGGUCGUCCCUGCAGCUCGGCUGUCGGAGUGGGCUGCGCGCACCUGUCCCGAGCUGGAAUGCUUGCAGCUUUCUCUACAGGAUUAUAAGCUUUGAUGUUCAGAAGAGCAAAACUGAAAGAUGCCAUCUGAGAGGUGCCUGAGCGUUCAAGAAAUGUUGACAGGUCAGAGGCUUUGUCAGUCGAGUUCCCAUAAUGAUGCUGUUCUGGCAGCUCUGAACCAACAAAGAAGUGAUGGCAUACUUUGUGAUAUCACCCUUAUUGCUGAAGAGCAGAAAUUUCACGCACAUAAGGCAGUCUUGGCAGCCUGUAGUGACUACUUUCGAGCAAUGUUCAGUCUCUGCAUGGUUGAAAGUGAAGCUGAUGAGGUGAAUUUGCAUGGUGUCACAAGCCUAGGUUUAAAACAGGCCCUGGACUUUGCAUAUACUGGACAGAUCCUUUUGGAGCCAGGGGUGAUACAAGAUGUGCUAGCAGCUGGGAGUCAUUUGCAGCUGCUGGAGCUUCUCAGUUUAUGUUCUCAUUAUCUCAUACAGGAAUUAAAUAGUUUUAAUUACUUGGACCUGUAUAAGCUUGCGGACCUCUUCAACCUCACUUUGUUGGAGAAUGCAGUGGUUGACUUCUUAGUAAAACAUCUCUCUGAGCUAUUGAAGAGUCAUCCUGAAGAAGUUCUGGCACUCCCAUACUGUCUCCUUCGAGAGGUUUUUAAAAGUGAUAGACUCACUUCACUCAGUGAAGAACAAAUCUGGCAGUUGGCUGUAAGGUGGUUGGAGCACAACUGCCACUACCAGUACAUGGAUGAGCUUCUCCAGUACGUCCGCUUUGGCCUUAUGGAUGUGGAUACACUGCAUACUGUAGCUCUUUCUCAUCCUCUCGUCCAAGCUAGUGAAACUGCAACGGCACUUGUUAAUGAGGCCUUGGCUUACCACCAGAGCAUCUAUGCACAGCCAGUUUGGCAAACCAGAAGGACAAAACCCCGCUUCCAGUCAGACACUCUUUACAUUAUUGGUGGGAAAAAGCGUGAAAUCUGUAAAGUGAAGGAAUUGCGCUACUUCAACCCAGUCGAUCAGGAGAACGUUCACAUUGCAGGGAUUGCGAACUGGAGUGAGCUUGCGCCAAUGCCCAUGGGGAGAAGCCACCACUGCGUUGCUGUCAUGGGAGACUUUCUGUUUGUGGCGGGUGGGGAAGCUGAGCACUCCACAGGGCGCACCUGUGCCGUGAGGACUGCCUGUCGCUAUGACCCCCGAAGCAACUCCUGGGCAGAGAUAGCUCCCAUGAAGAACUGCCGGGAGCACUUUGUGCUCGGAGCAGUGGACGAAUACCUAUAUGCAGUAGGAGGCAGAAAUGAGUUGCGUCAAGUCCUACCUACUGUGGAACGCUAUUGUCCCAAGAAGAACAAGUGGACCUUUGUACAGUCCUUUGACCGAUCACUUUCAUGCCAUGCAGGAUAUGUGGUGGAUGGUCUUCUUUGGAUAUCAGGAGGAGUAACAAAUACUGCACAGUAUCAAAACAGGCUCAUGGUCUAUGAUCCCAAGCAGAACAAGUGGUUAAGCCGUAGCCCAAUGCUGCAGAGGAGAGUGUAUCACUCCAUGGCUGCUGUCCAAAGGAAACUCUAUGUGCUAGGUGGAAACGACCUGGACUACAACAAUGAUCGGAUCCUGGUUCGGCACAUUGACUCCUACAGCAUUGAUGCUGACCAGUGGACGCGUUGCAGCUUCAACAUGUUGACAGGUCAAAAUGAGUCUGGAGUUGCGGUCCACAAUGGUAGAAUAUAUUUAGUUGGCGGCUAUUCAAUUUGGACAAAUGAGCCUCUGGCAUGUAUCCAGGUGCUGGAUGUCAGCAAGGAAGGGAAGGAAGAAGUUUUCUAUGGGCCCACACUGCCAUUUGCUUCCAACGGGAUAGCAGCGUGCUUUCUUCCAGCUCCCUAUUUCACAUGCCCCAACCUUCAGACCCUGCAAGUGCCUCACCAUAGGAUCGGCACGAUGUGAGAUGAGGAACAUGUGCAUCAUCAGCAAUGACGUGGAGGGAGAAAAUCAAACCCCCUGUACGGAAGGGGUCUUCAGAUCUGCAAAAAGAAUCCACCCCCAUGGGCUGCUGCUUUACUGUCACACAUUUGUCUUAAUGUCGGACCACGAUAGGCAGGAAGGAAGGACUACAGGCAGGUGCUGUGCUGCACCCGAUGUCAGAAAGAGCCACACAGCCCUCGUAAGGUGAGCAAGCGGGCUUUGUGUCACCAGGUGAGAAGCAAAAAGGGUGGCAAUGCAGGAGGUGGGUGGAGGCUGGGACAGCCCAAUGUAACUGCAGCUGUGCAGGGUCCUGGCCAGCAAAGGCUGCCCGAGGCCUCCAAAUCUGCCUGUCCCUGUGCUGCCUCUUCUGCAUUGUGUCACUGACUUCUCAAACUGCACCAGCUACAAGUUCCUGUACACAAGUGCCAGUACUACCUCUUCUACUCCCAGGUUUGUACUGUUUUUGGCAAACAUAACCCUUUGAACCCGUGCACUCUAUCUGACCAGCAAGCAGUUUUGGUGUGUACCUCUGAGAAACCAUUCAGCUCAGUGUUCCUGCAGAGCCUUGAGGAUGCCCAGAAUAUCUCCACACUGGAUCAUUCUGUUCCUGGAGUGAGACCGGCACGGUGUGAAAGCAGCUGCCAGCACCAUUCACUCGGGCUCCCAUCUGGGAUGUUGUUCAAGGGAACGGAGUAGCUUCCAGCCAGCGGGAACUGGAGGUAUCUUUGCAACUGUGUAAUGCAGCAGCAUUGUGAACUGUUGAGUCUGGAUGCCAGUGCAGUUCUGUGCUUUUUCUUACAUUUACUGAUUAAAUCUGCUCCCAGCUGCAGGCAGCCUUUUGGGCCACAGGGUCUGGAGAGCUGUAAGGAAGCGCCUUUGCACUCUUACUCCUGUCCUGUGAUCCCAAUUGUUGGGUCAUUCUCAGCAUUUCAUUCUUUAUACAGCAUACCUCACCUUUGAGUCCUAAGGCAUCUUAUCAUCUCUUCUUAGUUAUAAUCACCACAACAGCCAUCAGCUGCUUUGUGCUUUUUAUCCAAAAUAUGCAGAUUCCAGAGGCAGCCUUGCAGGGUGCCAACAAUUGGCUGAGAUCAAUUGCAUGAACUUCAACAAAUGUCGUGUCCUGCAUUUUGGUUGCACCAACCCCGUGCAAUGCUACAGGCUUGAGGGAGAGUGGCUGGAAAGCUGUGUGAAGGAAA